RNAcentral lists this ribosomal RNA (382 nucleotides) under Cimex sp. OB-2010. Its description in RNAcentral is "partial 16S ribosomal RNA". The stretch from base 24 to 119 matches the Rfam family "Archaeal large subunit ribosomal RNA", at positions 1947 to 2078 of the family's 2987-position model. Lineage: Eukaryota; Metazoa; Arthropoda; Insecta; Hemiptera; Cimicidae. The record is from RNAcentral.
UCUUUUUGAUUUUAUUUAAAGUCAGACCUGCCCAAUGAAUUUUAAAUGGCCGCAGUACUUUAACUGUGCAAAGGUAGCAUAAUAAUUUGUUUUUUAAUUGGAAACUUGCAUGAAUGGUCAUACGAGAGAUUGACUUUCUUUAUCUUAUAUUAAUUAAUUUUAUUUUUCUGUGAAAAAGCAGAGAUGUUUUUAGUAGACGAUAAGACCCUUUAAAACUUUAUUUAUCAUAAAAAUAUGAUUUUGUAGUUUUUAAUUUUGUACUAUUUUUGGUGAAUUUUGUUGGGGCGACAGGUAAAUUUAUCUAACUUUAUCUUUUUAUAUCAUAAAUUAGUGUUUAUUUGAUCCGGAUUUAAUUUCGAUUAAAAGUUUAAGUUACUUAAGG